GAAUUACGAGCCCAAGCUUAAAACCCAAAGGACUUGACGGUUUUCCAUCCCCCUAGAGGAGCCUGUUUUAUAAUCGAUUCUCCCCGAUCAACCCCACCACCUCUUGAUACUUAUCAGCCUGUAUACCUCCGUCACAAGCUUACCUUGUGAACGCAUAAUUAGUGAACUUAAAGAUUUUUACAUCCAUACGUCAGGUCAAGGUGCAGCCCAUGAUGUGGAAAGAAAUGGGCUACAAUUUCUACCUUAGAAUAAACGAAUAACUACAUGAAACACAUUUUAAAGGCGGAUUUAGUAGUAAAAGGAAAAUAGAGAGUUCCUUUUAACUGGGCACUGGAAUGCGUACACACCGCCCGUCACCCUCUUCAGAUAAUAACAUAACGUAACUAACACUACAAACUUUCAUAGAAGAGGCAAGUCGUAACAUGGUAAGUGUACUGGAAAGUGCACUUGGACCAACAAAAUGUAACUUAACAAAAGUAUCUUGCUUACACCAAGAAUAUGUCUGUAAAACCCAUUCCAUUUUGAGCCUAAAAUAUAGCCCCAUGUUAUCGAAUGAAAUACAUUAACUAAUAAAAAAACCUAAAACAUUUUCUUAACUUAGUAAAGGCGAUUGAAAAGUAUCUUGGAGCCUAAACACUAGUACCGCAAGGG
Molecule: ribosomal RNA, 651 nt
Filed under: Hylophorbus sp. LAO-2013b
Lineage: Eukaryota; Metazoa; Chordata; Amphibia; Anura; Microhylidae
Description: partial 12S ribosomal RNA
Rfam family: Bacterial small subunit ribosomal RNA (bases 1-463)
Source: RNAcentral